Lagopus muta (rock ptarmigan) is the source of this 2764-nucleotide long non-coding RNA. RefSeq lists it as uncharacterized. The record is from RefSeq and is a predicted model, not a curated record. The transcript has 3 exons. Lineage: Eukaryota; Metazoa; Chordata; Aves; Galliformes; Phasianidae.
ACAGCUGCUUUAUGAAUACCUGAUGAUAACCCAUGAAAAGAUUCAUCCCCGUGCCGGCAGGUAUGGAUUUAAUACGGAGCUGUAUCCCGAAUCUCCCCAACACACCCUCUGGUGAUACUGCAAAUACAGCCGUGAGGCUGCUUCCAUUCCAACUGCCUCUUUGCACCCCAGUAGUGUAUAUACCAGAGCCAAAACUGUGGUCAGAAUGUAUUCCUGAGGCUUUCUGCAAUGUAAGUGUCAGUCAUGCAAUUUUUUUUCGGUGAAUUUUGCCUUCUAUUGUCAUUUUAUUCUCAUAAUUCAAAAAAAAAAAAAAAAAAAAACACAACGAUUUUUUUUUGGUGUGUGGAGUAACUUUUGAAUAAUAAGGCAAAAAAAUUUGCUUCAACUCAAUAGCUGCAUCCGUAAGGAAUAAUGACAGUAAUGUUCCAAUGUCAGUGUUCCUUUUUGUAAUAAUAAGCAUACAGUGCUGUAUGACUACACGCACAAAGAUAUCGGGUGUUGAUUGUAUUAACAUGGAACUUUAUUUUAGUAAUGUGGGUUUUUUAUUAUUAUUUAUUUUAUUUCUGCAGCUUGGAAAGUCUCUAAGCUAUUCUGAUUUCAGAAUCCCCCUCCUCAGUAAUCAGAGAGAAAGCUUUCAGGCCUCUGUAUCCUUGGGUAGAGACACACCCAUCUAUCUGCCAUUACAUUCCUUUCCAGAUGACAUGUCUAUUCAAGGCAAAGCUCUGACAACGUCCUUCAUGGCGACAUCUAAGUUAAUUAGACCACUUUCAGAAGACAGGAUUGCAUUUUGUAUUUCUGCACUUCUACAGUCGCACAAGUACAGAUGAAAGCAACGUUCCUGCAGAGCAUCGUUCUCCCCACAUACAAACCUGCGUGGGAGCACGUUACUGAGGGCUGAGUCCAACUCUGCUUUUCAGGAAACUAUCUUAUGCUUCCAAUACUUGGACUUUUAGUUCUUUUAUGCACUUAGAAGUCUGCACCAAUACCAUAUUCACCUGAAUUUAGUAGUCCAUCAAAAAAAAAAGCAAGGAUCCGCUUGCCAACUGCUUACAUCAUAAAGCCAAAAGUUACUAGAAGUACAAAGGAAAGGGAGUUGGGACAAAAUUAUUAUUUUUUAAGAAAAAACAUUCAAAAUGUUCUGUAGUAAGGUUAAUAGGUAAUAGCUUCUGUACUUAAUAGGCCUCUAAAAUGAAAUAAUAAUGUGUUCCACUUUCUCACAGGAUACUCAGAAUUUAAUAUUUGUGAAUUCCUUCCAUGUUAAAACACACCACCAUCUGCAAAACAAAUCCAGUCAGUCACUUUCUUCAAAGUGAUGUAACUUCUUGAGAGGUAAUCUGCAAUAUUUUUUUUGUUAUAAAUAAAACAUCUAUUCCAGAUUUACAAAAGGCUCUUUAAAAAAGGCUUCAAAUUUAACUUUCUCCUUAGAUAAUGUAGAAAUAAAAGGGGAAAAAAACUAUAAAAUAAGUAGGGUUAAAAGUAGUAACAGUGAAAGGAGACACAAAAAGCUUCCAGGACGUGUAUCUAAAACUUGUAUAUUUACUACCAUGAACAAAGACUGUGGCUAUACUGAGGAGAGGUGGAAUAAAGAGAAAAUACUGAUCUACAUAUUCCCAUUGCUAGGCAGGGGGGUUGGAACUACAUGAUCCUUGGGGUCCCUUCCAACCCGGGUGAUUCUGUGAUACAUAUAGACUGGUUUUAUAUUUAUCCUGAAAAUACACCAAUUACAUCAGAACAAACAAAACCCAAGAAAUCAGAAGUUGUAACUUUUGAGCACAUCUGAUUACCACAUGCUGUAUGAGAGGGAAAAAAAAAUCAACAUACGUAGAUGGCAAUUGAAACACUUUUCUAUGGGGAAGGAAGUCACAUUGAAGACAUGCUACAUGAAACAAUUAAACACUUAGAGAAUAAGCAACUCCAAAUUUGAGAAAACAGACUUUUUUUGUUAAGUGGUAGUUACUUAUUGAUUGAAGCACUUUUGCCAUGCAAGUAGUAUUUUUCCUAAGUUCUAAACAGAGAGAAAAUGAUGCAUUUGUAAAUUAGUACAGAAAUGUACGGUGUCACUGCAAAAGUCACUGCCAGAAUCUGAAUGUGAAGGUUCUCAUCUGUUUAUUCUCUCCAAUAGAAUUUAAGGGAUUUAUUAUGUGCUCUCACUAGUGACAGUGAAACACUAACUAGUAAAACUACUUACCUUUGUCACAAGAGAUAUGAAAUACUGCACAUAAAUACAACUGAAAAGUGUCUUUUAGCAUAACCUUUUGAGGACAACCUUCUUAAAUACAGAAAGCCUUUAUUUAUUCUGCAGUACUUAGCUUGUCUUCAAUGAUACCCAAAUAGGGGGAAAAAAGCCCAACCCAAGGUGCUGUAUCACAAGACAAAGAUCUGAUUUACCACAAGUUAACUGUUUUCUUAACAGGCCUAGUAGCCAAUAGUUUUCAACUGUUCAGAUCACCUUUACCUGUAGAAAUAAUCAGCACGCUAACUUACACUUAGGCCCCAAGACUUUCUGUAGGAACUGCUAUGUGUAGAAAUGCCUGCCUAGUAGGGCUUACAGAUAGCUUUGUUAAAAUUGAAGCCUUCUGUUAAGUAAGAUGACCUGACGUGAGUUAUUCUCGUGUGCAGGUCUCACCACAAAGCUGGGAACUAAGUUUUCAUAACAUGCUGCAUUGCUGCUUUGUGAAAACAUUUCCAAUACAAUUAACAAUAAGCAGCUGUUGGGAGAAGUGAACAGCAGAAGCUCUGUAGCACCUAGCCUCUGAGUUGGCUG